UGUCCCGCAGCGCGGGGGCGCCACCGCGGAGGACGGUGACGGCGCGCAGUUCGAGCCGGCCGGGGCCG
RNAcentral lists this transfer RNA (68 nucleotides) under Streptomyces tubercidicus. Its description in RNAcentral is "tRNA-Leu". Lineage: Bacteria; Bacillati; Actinomycetota; Actinomycetes; Kitasatosporales; Streptomycetaceae. The record is from RNAcentral.